Molecule: ribosomal RNA, 649 nt
Filed under: uncultured bacterium
Lineage: Bacteria
Description: bacterial SSU rRNA
Rfam family: Bacterial small subunit ribosomal RNA
Source: RNAcentral
UUCCUACGGGAGGCAGCAGUAAGGGAUAUUGGGCAAUGGGCGAAAGCCUGACCCAGCAACGCCGCGUGGGCGAUGAAGGCCUUCGGGUCGUAAAGCCCUUUUGAGGGGGACGAUGAUGACGGUACCCCUCGAAUAAGCCACGGCUAACUACGUGCCAGCAGCCGCGGUAAUACGUAGGUGGCAAGCGUUGUCCGGAUUUACUGGGCGUAAAGGGCGUGCAGGCGGUUUGUUUAGUCUAGGGUGAAAGCUCCCGGCUUAACUGGGAGAGGUCCUUGGAUACUGGCAAACUUGAGGGAGGCAGAGGAAAGUGGAAUUCCCGGUGUAGUGGUGAUAUGCGUAGAUAUCGGGAGGAACACCAGGUGGCGAAGGCGGCUUUCUGGGCCUUACCUGACGCUGAGACGCGAAAGCGUGGGGAGCGAACCGGAUUAGAUACCCGGGUAGUCCACGCCGUAAACUAUGGACACUAGGUGUGGGGGGGUAUCGACCCCCUCCGUGCCGCAGCUAACGCAAUAAGUGUCCCGCCUGGGGAGUACGGCCGCAAGGCUAAAACUCAAAGGAAUUGACGGGGGCCCGCACAAGCAGCGGAGCGUGCGGUUUAAUUCGUCGCAACACUAAGACCUUACCAAGGCUUGACAUGCUAGUGGUACUG